This 28-nucleotide small RNA is filed under the name Bombyx mori (domestic silkworm). RNAcentral describes it as "ovarian small RNA-4435". The record is from RNAcentral. Lineage: Eukaryota; Metazoa; Arthropoda; Insecta; Lepidoptera; Bombycidae.
ACGCAUUUGAAAUGUGGUGUUGGCGCAA